RNAcentral lists this ribosomal RNA (583 nucleotides) under uncultured fungus. RNAcentral describes it as "eukaryotic LSU rRNA". The stretch from base 211 to 364 matches the Rfam family "5.8S ribosomal RNA". The record is from RNAcentral. Lineage: Eukaryota; Fungi.
AGUCGUAACAAGGUCUCCGUAGGUGAACCUGCGGAGGGAUCAUUACACAAAUAUGAAGGCGGGCUGGAACCUCUCGGGGUUACAGCCUUGCUGAAUUAUUCACCCUUGUCUUUUGCGUACUUCUUGUUUCCUUGGUGGGUUCGCCCACCACUAGGACAAACAUAAACCUUUUGUAAUUGCAAUCAGCGUCAGUAACAAAUUAAUAAUUACAACUUUCAACAACGGAUCUCUUGGUUCUGGCAUCAAUGAAGAACGCAGCGAAAUGCGAUAGGUAGUGUGAAUUGCAGAAUUCAGUGAAUCAUCGAAUCUUUGAACGCACAUUGCGCCCUUUGGUAUUCCAAAGGGCAUGCCUGUUCGAGCGUCAUUUGUACCCUCAAGCUUUGCUUGGUGUUGGGCGUCUUGUCUCUAGCUUUGCUGGAGACUCGCCUUAAAGUAAUUGGCAGCCGGCCUACUGGUUUCGGAGCGCAGCACAAGUCGCACUCUCUAUCAGCAAAGGUCUAGCAUCCAUUAAGCCUUUUUUUUCAACUUUUGACCUCGGAUCAGGUAGGGAUACCCGCUGAACUUAAGCAUAUCAAUAAAGUCG